UUUCGGUAUGUAAACUUCGAAAGAAUGGGAAGAAUAAAUGACGGUACCAUUUAUAAGCUCCGGCUAACUACGUGCCAGCAGCCGCGGUAAUACGUAGGGUGCAAGCGUUAUCCGGAAUUAUUGGGCGUAAAGAGCUCGUAGGCGGACUGUCGCGUCUGCUGUGAAAACCCGAGGCUCAACCUCGGGCCUGCAGUGGGUACGGGCAGACUAGAGUGCGGUAGGGGAGAUUGGAAUUCCUGGUGUAGCGGUGGAAUGCGCAGAUAUCAGGAGGAACACCGAUGGCGAAGGCAGAUCUCUGGGCCGUAACUGACGCUGAGGAGCGAAAGCGUGGGGAGCGAACAGGAUUAGAUACCCUGGUAGUCCACGCCGUAAACGUUGGGCGCUAGAUGUCGGGGCCCUCAGGGCUUCGGUGUCGCAGCUAACGCAUUAAGCGCCCCGCCUGGGGAGUACGGCCGCAAGGCUAAAACUCAAAGGAAUUGACGGGGGCCCGCACAAGCGGCGGAGCAUGCGGAUUAAUUCGAUGCAACGCGAAGAACCUUACCAAGGCUUGACAUACACGAGAACACCCUAGAAAUAGGGGACUCUUUGGACACUCGUGAACAGGUGGUGCAUGGUUGUCGUCAGCUCGUGUCGUGAGAUGUUGGGUUAAGUCCCGCAACGAGCGCAACCCUCGUUCUAUGUUGCCAGCACGUAAUGGUGGGA
RNAcentral lists this ribosomal RNA (702 nucleotides) under uncultured Leifsonia sp. RNAcentral's name for it is "bacterial SSU rRNA". It matches the Rfam family "Bacterial small subunit ribosomal RNA", at positions 416 to 1136 of the family's 1533-position model. Lineage: Bacteria; Bacillati; Actinomycetota; Actinomycetes; Micrococcales; Microbacteriaceae. The record is from RNAcentral.